Molecule: long non-coding RNA, 535 nt
Filed under: Brassica napus (rape)
Lineage: Eukaryota; Viridiplantae; Streptophyta; Magnoliopsida; Brassicales; Brassicaceae
Description: long non-coding RNA (BNAP_LNC018701)
Source: RNAcentral
GUUCAUGAGAUCCAAGAAAAAGAGAGAAAGGCUCAGUGGCAAUGACCAUAGCGAGACCAAAGUCUUGACCAAUCUUACUGAACAACAUCAACAACACAAGGUUAGUAAACUAUAAGAUUAGAAACACAAUAGAACCAUAGCCUUAUAUUUAGUUGUUUGCUUUAAACUUGAUUGAAUGAUGAAUAAUUGCUCUGUUAUGUUCAUGAUUAUGUCAUGUACGACUGCUCAAAAUCACUAAAACGAUCAAAAUAAUAGAACUAAUGAACGUUUUUUGUUUAAAACAAAAGCAAAAUAAAUGUUUGACAACAAAAUAAAAAAAUGUAGCAAAAGGGAAAAGAAAAUAGUUCCAAAUAAAUAUUUGAGUGUAUUUGCAAAACUUACAUAUUCAUCAGCAAGAACCAUUUGAAGGGUCUCUCCGAAUGAGGUGGUUUGUUGCCAGAAAUGAAGCAAUAUGACUUGAGAUCGCCAUUUAGUUUUAAAUGGUUUCACUUUUUUGAGAGAUGUGAAACUUGCAUUGGUUGACAUCGUUUUUUUU